This 497-nucleotide ribosomal RNA is filed under the name uncultured bacterium. Its description in RNAcentral is "partial 16S ribosomal RNA". It matches the Rfam family "Bacterial small subunit ribosomal RNA", at positions 28 to 507 of the family's 1533-position model. The record is from RNAcentral.
GAUGAACGCUGGCGGCGUGCCUAAUACAUGCAAGUCGAGCGAACAGACGAGGAACUUGCUCCUCUGACGUUAGCGGCGGACGGGUGAGUAACACGUGGAUAACCUACCUAUAAGACUGGGAUAACUUCGUGAAACCGGAGCUAAUACCGGAUAAUAUAUUGAAACGCAUGGUUCAAUAGUGAAAGACGGUUUUGCUGUCACUUAUAGAUGGAUCCGCGCCGCAUUAGAUAGUUGGUAAGUUAACGACUUACCAAGGCAACAAUGCUUACAUGACCAGAGGGGGUGAUCGACAACACUGGACGGGAAACAGGGUCAAUACUCCUAGGGGAGGCAGCGGAAGGAACAUUAACGCAAUGGGCGAAAGCCUGACGGAGCACGGCCGCGGGAAUAAUGAAGGUCUCGGGAUCGUAAACCCCUGUUAGUCGGGAAGACAAAGUGUAUAAGUAACAAUGCAUGUCGUGACGGUACCUAACCAGAAAGGAACGGCUAACUACGUG